RNAcentral lists this ribosomal RNA (253 nucleotides) under uncultured bacterium. RNAcentral describes it as "partial 16S ribosomal RNA". It matches the Rfam family "Bacterial small subunit ribosomal RNA", at positions 524 to 776 of the family's 1533-position model. The record is from RNAcentral.
UACGUAGGGUGCAAGCGUUGUUCGGAAUCAUUGGGCGUAAAGCGCGUGUAGGUGGCUAGUUAAGUUGGAUGUGAAAUCCCUGGGCUCAACCGAGGAAGUGCAUUCAAAACUGGCUGGCUAGAGGAUGGUAGAGGAAGGUGGAAUUCCAAGUGUAGAGGUGAAAUUCGUAGAUAUUUGGAGGAAUACCGGCGGCGAAGGCGGCCUUCUGGGCCAUUCUUGACACUGAGACGCGAAAGCGUGGGGAGCAAACAGG